Molecule: ribosomal RNA, 468 nt
Filed under: uncultured bacterium
Lineage: Bacteria
Description: partial 16S ribosomal RNA
Rfam family: Bacterial small subunit ribosomal RNA
Source: RNAcentral
GACGAACGCUGGCGGCGUGCUUAACACAUGCAAGUCGAACGGAAAGGCCCUGCUUUUGUGGGGUGCUCGAGUGGCGAACGGGUGAGUAACACGUGAGUAACCUGCCCUUGACUUUGGGAUAACUUCAGGAAACUGGGGAUAAUACCGGAUAGGAGCUCCUGCUGCAUGGUGGGGGUUGGAAAGUUUCGGCGGUUGGGGAUGGACUCGCGGCUUAUCAGCUUGUUGGUGGGGUAGUGGCUUACCAAGGCUUUGACGGGUAGCCGGCCUGAGAGGGUGACCGGCCACAUUGGGACUGAGAUACGGCCCAGACUCCUACGGGAGGCAGCAGUGGGGAAUAUUGCACAGUGGGCGGAAGCGUGAUGCAGCAACGCCGCGUGCGGGAUGACGGCCUUCGGGUUGUAAACCGCUUUCGCCUGUGACGAAGCGUGAGUGACGGUAAUGGGUAAAGAAGCACCGGCUAACUACGUG